Molecule: long non-coding RNA, 6027 nt
Organism: Passer domesticus (house sparrow)
Lineage: Eukaryota; Metazoa; Chordata; Aves; Passeriformes; Passeridae
Exons: 4
Source: RefSeq, a predicted model, not a curated record
CUGUAAUAGACUCUGAGCCAACCAUGUGUGAUAUUCUUGACAAGGAUAAACCCAGCUGGCUCAUAGUAGCAGAAACCAACAUUUAUUUCAGUCAGUUAUUGAGUGAUAGUCCUUUCAGUGUUGCUGUUGUUGCCAAGUUUGCUUUUCAAAACCCCUAAGGACACUGCUGAAUAUUGUUGGGAGCAGUGAUUUUUUCAUACCCCUGCUUUUUUGCCACCAUCUCGGACUUACCUUUACUUUCCAAGUGCAAAACUGUUUUCUUCAUCACUUAGCAAGAACAUUUUGAGUUCUUGCUAAAAAAAAAAAAAGUAGGGGAAAAAAAAGUAAAAUAAAGUAAAAUUAAAAAGUAAAAUAAAUCUGGGAAGCUCUUCCUGACUGUUCUGGAGAAAGCUGCAUUCCAGAGGUCGUGGGAUGAGUAUGUGAAAGGGAGAGUAGUUUGCUGCAUGUGAUAUGUUGAGUUUGUUGUUUUUUAAAACAGCCAAAAGAAAGUACAUGAGCAAGAAUGUAGAAUUUCAGCUCAUGAGAACUGGAAACUGAACUGGCUCCAGGAUCUGGGUCAAGAGGAAAACUUGGUGAACUUCUGCACAGAACAGAUACUUCCCUAGAGCUGCACAGUGCUUUUCACAAGUGCAGGAGAGCCCAGCGUGUGCAGGGGCUGGAAGGAGGGCAGAGUGGGUUUAGGUACAGGAAGAAAAGAAUCUAUCUGUGGAAUUUCCCUGCACAAAAUGCCAAAUGCUCAGAUGGAAAGGAGGCUUCUUCCCCAGUCAGCUGCUGCAGCAGAGGAUGCACAGUGUCAGAGGUGGAGAUGGCCAGAAUUAUGCCGAAGAAUCCUUGGUGCUGUCCUGUGUCUGAGCACCAGAGCACUGAAUGCUGAGCAGAACUGUCUCCUCUGUACCUCAAGAACUUCCUGUAGGAAAUUUUUAGACUGCUGGUGGCAGCCCCAUGGAAUGAGUCAGUGCUGUGCUGCUUUCAGUCUGGUGAAUGAAAGAAUUCUGGAGGCAUAAUUUCCUUAUUACUGAAGCCUGGGUUUGACAAAAUUGUAGAUUUCCCUGCUUUCUCAUAGAUAUGUGUGUCUAAUUGACAGAAAGAAAACACCAAAGCCUCGUGUGAAUAAGAAUACCAGAAUGAUUAAGGAUGGAGAAAAAACUCCAGGAUCAUCAAGUCCAGCCUGUGACUGACCCAGCCCAGAGCUCUGAGUGCCACCUCCAGCCCUUGGGCACCUGCAGGAUGGUCACUCCAAACCUCCCUGGGCAGCUGUGCCAGUGCUGAGCACCCUUUCCAUGGGGAAAUUCCUGCUGAUGUCCACCCUGAGCCUCCCCUGGCCCAGCCUGAGGCCGUUCCCUCUCCUCCUGUCCCUGUUCCCUGGAGCACAGCCCGACCCCCCGGCUGUCCCCUCCUGUCAGGAGCUGUGCAGAGCCACAAGGGCCCCCCUGAGCCUCCUUUGCUCCAGGCUGAGCCCCUUUCCAGCUCCCUCAGCUGCUCCUGGGGCUCCAGACCCUUCCCAGCUCCGUUCCCUUCUCUCAGGCCUGAAUGUGUGCUGAUCAGAGGCACCAAUUGUGCUGAUAAUUUAUUGUGUGCCCCAGCUUUUGCCAAAGCAGGAACACAAGAGCAGCAAUGCUCAGGUUAAUUAUUCUCAUACCUCCCUUCCUUAAGAGGUUCUGAGAUGAGUGUAUCUUUUAAAGGAAAAAAAUAAGUCUUGUAUCCUGUAGGUUAUUUCCCAGAGAAAUACCAAAAACACUUUUCUGCCGAGAAUUAGCCUUUCAUCAUAAAUGCAAAUCCACUUUCCAGGCCCAAAUAAACACACACUGGAAUGGCAUCACCGCUGGUGCACAGUCCUGGAUGAGCUGCUGGGAUUCUUCAACCAUUUCCAGCUCCAGCACUCAGCCGCAAGCCUGAAACUCCUCACCUUAGUGCUCCUCAUGUUUUCCCUUUCUUUGAGGCUUUGAAGAGCCUAAAGAUCACCUCUCAAAGUACUUGACAAAAGUAUCUCUGCUCUGUGACAAGGCAACUCCUGCACUCUUCAUCUGAAGCAUUUUUCUAUCUGCCUGAUCUUUUCAUGUCUUUUAUUUUUCCCAGAAAAUUCACCUUCAUCCUCUUUUUUGUUUCAUGACCUGCUUCCCACUCAUUUGUGGCCUGCUCAGGCAAGGAGGCACCUCUGGAUGCUGUGUCCAGCUCUGGAUCCUUAGCACAGCAGGGACAGGAGCUCCUGGAGCGGGGCCAGCUCAGGCUGGGAGGAUGAGGAGGGCCUGGAGCAUCUCGGUGCCCAGGAAAGGCUGAGGGAGCUGGGGCUGCUCAGCCUGGAGAGGAGCCCCAGCUGAGAGGGGCCCUCAGCCCUGGCUGUCCCUGUGUGCAGGGAGGGCAGAGCAGGGCCCAGGCUCUGCUCCAGGCCCAGCAGUGGCACCAGAGCCACGGGCAGGGCCGAAGCCCAGGAGCUGCCCCUGCCCAGGAGGCAGAACUUCUGCCCUGGGCACUGCCCAGCCCUGAACAGGCUGCCCAGGGAGGGGCUGGAGUCUCCCUCAGCGGGGAUCCUGCAGAGCCCUCUGGGCACAAUGCUGUGCCCUGUGCUCUGGGAUGGCCCUGCCUGAGCUGGGAGCUGGCACCAGGGUCCCUCUGCGCUCCCUUCCAGCCUGGCAUUCUGUGAAUCACUGGCAAGAUGAAAGACAAGACCAGGUAUUAUAAAGACCAGGGGAAGAAACAAGGUGUGAAACACAUUUAGGCUUUGGCUUCCCAUGCUGCAAUCUCAAACUCUAUUUCCCCACUGCAUUCCCCAAAUAUUUCCUCCCUGUCCCACCAUCCUUGGUCAUCCUGUCUCAAAGCCCUUCAGAACUGACCAGGACAUUUAGGAUUAAUGGCUGAGCUUUAGUGUUUCCAUCCACAAAAUGGAUAUUGCUCAUCUGAACGUUAUGGUCAGAGCUGAUGGCUCUAAAGCUCCUUAAAGAUAUGAUGCUGUAAAAAUUGUGAAGGCUAUUGAUAGUUUAUUAUUUUUUAUCUGUAAUAUUUACAGCCUUUGACUUCCUUCUUGCAUAACAUAGCAAAUGUUUUUCUGCUUCCUGAAAACGUGUGGUAAAUCAACUGAUCCACUGUUGUUUUCAAAUAUCCUUAGUUAGUUUUCAUGCACAUGUUUUGGAAUCUAUGUAAAAUAUGCCUUAAAUAGCUGAAUAAAAUAAAUGCCAGGGCUCUUACAGCUUUUUCCACCUGAUUUCAAUGCAGAGCUGCCAAACAAUUUCAGUGGUUUAUAGCCUGUUGCCCAAAAUCAAAUUCCGUGUUACUUUUGGUUUAAGGGCUAAUAGCUUUUUGAAAUAUAUUAGUGUUUUCCGGUGACAGAUCCAAGAUUAGCUUUUAUCCAUUGUUCCAAGAGGUAUUCCAUAAUCCUGUGGCACAGUCAACUUUAUGAGGAAUUUUACAACCUUUCAUGAGCGCUUUGUGUUUUAAAAUGCUAAAAAAGCAGUUAAGGAGAGAGGAAAACAAAGCACUGCAGUGUGUCCCUCUGAUGUUCCAUUGGCCUUUGAAGUGCUGGGGAGUGAGGAGCGAUGACUGCAGGAAUGACUGCAGGAGGAAUCACUUUGCCCAGACAGACUGAGGAGCCAGCCAGCCAAAGUUUUUGAGUGCUGCAGAACUGCUUUACUGGAGGAGUAUUUGCCUUGAGACAAUGAACAGCCAGAGUGGGGGAGCUCAAGUCUCUGCCAGACCUUGAGCAUGUCCUUUGGAGCAGCAGCACUGAAGAACGGCAUCCAUCGGAGUGAUGUCAUUCAAUCCUGAUUUUUUCAUGUGAUGACAUCAAAACCAGAGUGGGCAGCAGAUUGAGGAGGGGGAUUGUGCCCCUGUGCUCAGGUGAGACCCCACCUGCAGAGCUGCCCCAGCCCUGGGCCCAGCACAGGCAGGAGCUGGAGCUGCUGCAGGAGCCCAGAGGAGGCUCCAGGAUGAGCAGAAGGAUGGAGCAGCUCUGCUGGGAGGAAAGGCUGGCACAGCUGGGAAUGCUCACCUGGAGAGGACAAGCACUGGGGUCACCUAACUGUGGCCUUGCAGGACCUGAAGGAGCUACAGGAAAGAUGGAUAGAUACUAUUGGCAAGGGAUGGGGAAAGGACACAGGGAAUGGCUUCUCACUGCCAGAGGGCAGGGAUGGAUGGGAUAUUGGGAAUUAGGAAUUGUUCCCUGGCAGGGUGGGCAGGCCCUGGCACAGGGUGCCCAGAGCAGCUGGGGCUGCCCCUGGAUCCCUGGCAGUGCCCAAGGCCAGGCUGGACAUUGGGGUUUGGAGCAGCCUGGGACAGUGGAAGGUGUCCCUGCCAUGGCAGGGGUGGCACUGGAUGGGCUUUAAGGUUCCUUCCAACCCAAACCAUCCUGGGAUUCUCUUCUAUGAUUCUGGGGUUUGAAGCAGUGCAAAAGCAGGACUUUGGGAUGCACCCAUUGCUCCCAGGUGGUUUCUGCAGGGCAAGGCAAAGGCAGAGCAGUGCUGGGGAGGGCAGGCUCAGGAUGCCCCUGCUUUGUGCACCAUUGCAAACUAUGGCUACGACUGGGAUGAAUCUCUCCCUAAUACUUUAUUCCUCUUUUGCAUGGGGAAAAAGGGAAACACCCAAGUGCUGUGAUGAGACAGACCUGAGGAUGGAGAAUUGGAUGGGAUCAGCACAGCUUUUUCCCUUUAAAAGCUACUCUAUGAGACCUUCAGCCCUAGAUGCAAAUGUAUAUCCUUCCAGGAGAAGUAUUUCAGAGGCAGGGUCUAGCACAUAAUUUUCUGUCCCUGCCUCCUUAAAGAUGUCAUAUCUUUCCCCCACAAAAAAUGCUAUUGUUGGAAAGAAAAUGGAAAAUCUUUCUGGCCAUUCUUCUGAAAUGAAAGCAGCAAUCUUCAAAGCCAAGAACAAUCCCUUCAGGCUAGCUGAGUAACUGCUCAGGCUAUACAAAAACAGCCAAUUUGUACUUGUGAGGUAUCAAGGCUCAGCUGUUUGAUGGGGCUGGAGAUGUUUGUACCUGGCAGUGGCUGGAGUCUGUCACUGGGACAUGGUGGGCUGGGCCUGGUCACUGAAUGGUGCUUGAAGCUGGAUUUUGUACUGGGGGAGGAAUCACAGCCUAUUCAGGGCACCAUUUUUGUUUCAUGGAGGAAGUAACAGGUUUGACUGCACCUUGGGAUCUGCUUUCCUUUGCACCUCCACCAUCCAGUGCCUGGUGGGAGCAGAGCAGCCUCAGCCUCCCCUGGUUUGUCCUCCCAGCCAAACUCUGUUUUGUUUUUCCCUAAUCUCCUACUGCAGUUCCACACAAACAUUAAACAAGAGGAGGAGACAGGGUUCUCUGUGAAUUACUCCCCAGCUGAGACUAUUUGCAGUAUAAAGGAGACUCCUACCUCAAAAUUGCUUCUUCUGGGGGCUUCUCCAGUGGGAUUGGCAGUUCUGUGGAUCCCACCUCCCAAAGCAACCUCUCACCUGUGGCUGGUACUGUUUCUGCACCAGUGCUGAGCUGAGGAGUUCAGGCUGUUCAGCCACUCUGGAAUUGCAGCCUUCAGUUGAGUGUCUGCACAUUUGACUCAUGAGAAGAUGGACAAGAUGAUCAGAGGAAUGGAGGGCUGAAGCUCCUCUCUGAGAAAAGGUUGAGAGAGCUGACAGGGAAGGUGGGGAGAGAGGAUUUACAGGCCCUGGCACAGGGUACCCAGAGCAGCUGUGGCUGCCCCUGGAUCUCUGGCAGUGCCCAAGGCCAGGCUGGAUGGGGCUGGGAGCAGCCUGGGACAGUGGAAGGUGUUCCUGCCCAUGGCAGGGGUGGAACAAGAAGGGCUUUAAGAUCUUCUCCAACCCAAGCCAUGCUAUGACUCUAUGAUUUCCCUAAAAACUAAGCUCUGGGCAUUCUGGAGACACCCAAUGAAUCAACUGCACAUGUGAGAUAAAAUCCAAUUUGGUUUUGUUUUUCCCACUGUACCUUUCAUUGAACUCCACAAGGAUACACAGCACUUGGGAGGUUUUACUGAGACAGGCACUUGGUGUGUUUUGGGGACUGGGAAGACAGUUCAUAUACAGAUUCCCAAAAUAAAACAAAAGGCUGCCUGA